GAUAAACGCUGGCGGCGCACAUAAGACAUGCAAGUUGAACGGACUUAAUCGAAAUAUUUAUAUUUUGAAGCGGUUAGUGGCGGACUGGUGAGUAACGCGUAAGGAACCUGCCUAUUAGAGGGGAAUAACAGUGAGAAAUCAUUGCUAAUACCGCAUAUGCCAUAGAUAUCACAUGAUAACAGUGGGAAAGGAGCAAUCCGCUAAUAGAUGGCCUUGCGUCUGAUUAGAUAGUUGGUGGGGUAACGGCCUACCAAGUCGACGAUCAGUAGCCGGACUGAGAGGUUGAACGGACACAUUGGGACUGAGAUACGGCCCAGACUCCUACGGGAGGCAGCAGUCGGGAAUAUUGAGCAAUGGAGGAAACUCUGACGCAGGGACGCCGCGUAUAGGAAGAAGGUUUUCGGAUUGUAAACUAUUGUCGUUAGGGAAGAGAAAGGACAGUACCUAAGGAGGAAGCUCCGGCUAACUACGUG
RNAcentral lists this ribosomal RNA (473 nucleotides) under uncultured bacterium. RNAcentral describes it as "partial 16S ribosomal RNA". It matches the Rfam family "Bacterial small subunit ribosomal RNA", at positions 28 to 507 of the family's 1533-position model. The record is from RNAcentral.